Non-coding RNA from Acanthosepion pharaonis, 113 nucleotides. The record is from the annotation of a GenBank genome assembly. Lineage: Eukaryota; Metazoa; Mollusca; Cephalopoda; Sepiida; Sepiidae.
UUACGGUCACAUCAUGUUAAAACAGCUGUCCCCGUACGAUCACCGAAGUUAAGAAACGUCGAGCCUAGUCAGUACCUAGAUGGGUGAUCACUUGGGAAUACCAGGUGCUGUAA